RNAcentral lists this ribosomal RNA (253 nucleotides) under uncultured bacterium. RNAcentral's name for it is "partial 16S ribosomal RNA". It matches the Rfam family "Bacterial small subunit ribosomal RNA", at positions 524 to 776 of the family's 1533-position model. The record is from RNAcentral.
UACGGAGGCCCCAAGCGUUGUUCGGAUUUAUUGGGCGUAAAGGGUGCGUAGGCGGCAUCGUAAGUCUGGUGUGAAAGGCGUGGGCUCAACCCGCGGACUGCAUUGGAUACUGCGAUGCUAGAGGACUGGAGAGGAGAAUGGAAUUCACGGUGGAGCAGUGAAAUGCGUAGAUAUCGUGAGGAACACCUGCGGCGAAGGCGGGUAGCUGGGCCGACACUGACGCUGAGGCGCGAAAGCCAGGGGAGCGAACGGG